Long non-coding RNA from Apteryx haastii (Great spotted kiwi), 1988 nucleotides. The record is from Ensembl. NCBI's taxonomy places the organism in Eukaryota, Metazoa, Chordata, Aves, Apterygiformes, Apterygidae.
GCCACACGAGGAGCCUUAUGGAGCCACCUCACUCCUGCACGAGUUAAGCAUUCCUGCGCGUACGCAGAAGGUGGCAGUCCAAUUCAGGCAGCUGGACACGGCCCGCGCAUGUCAACAGAUAGAGCUUUGUUUCAACAGAUUCCUAGAUUUCCAAAGGAAAGUUAUUAUCGAGGUGAUGCAAAGGACUCAUCACUGUGCACAGCUCCAGCCAAGAGCCUGAAGGGCACCAAAACAGACGUGCCCCUGGAGGCUGCUACUACACAGAACAACUGGCAUCUUUGUUACAUGGCUGGAGGCACUGAGCCUGCUGCUUCAACUGCCAGAGCUACUAGAUCACUGCCAGUGGAGCUACAGCCUGUUCAGCUGUUACAGAAGGAGCUACUGGGCCUGGAUCACACAAGGAAAAAACCCUGCUGUGAGAGCUGCCAUCAGAAGAGGCAAAAGUCACAGCUGAAGUACCUGGUGAAUUUAGUGACACGGGACGAUUCCUAGCAACUGGGACGCCACAAAAAUGAGAUGGGAGAAUGCUUUCUGGAUGGUUGCCUGUUUACUGUUUGCAUCUCUACCCAGAGGUCAGUUGGACACAACGUGCCAUGCAUUUGUUGGAGAAACUGUCAUUUUGCCUUGUACCAUCACCUCUCCUGGAGAGCUGGAUGUUUCCGAUUCAAAGCUCUACUGGCAGAUAGAGUCUAUUUUAGUGCAUUUUUUUCACAAUGGGGAAGAUUCACUGAGGUACCAGGAUGAAAAUUAUCGUGGCAGAACCAGUCUUUUUUUGGAUGAGGUGAAGCAUGGCAACUUUUCCCUACAGCUUUCCAACAUCCGAUUAGAGGAUGCAGCUGUAUAUACUUGCAUCUAUAAACAGGCUAGGGCUCUCUCCAACAAAACACAGAAAUCUAAAAUUAAACUCGAUGUAUCAGGAACUAUUUCUUAUCAUGAAAAGAUAUUUCUUUUGAAAAAAAAAAAGAUUGGGAGAAGGGGAAGUGUUUGAAUUUUGCUAUAAGAGAACAAACUGAACUACACACUUGCAAGCACCGGAAGGUUUCUGUGUUUCUGGGUUUGGGGGCCUUGGAGAUGGACGAAAUAAGAGAAGUCUAACUUUUGCAACAUAAUUCUUUUCAUAAAAAGAAAAAAAAUGUUUCCUAUUGUCAACAUUAUUUUAAGAAAAAUAUAGCCUCAGCUCCCAAUUUUUGUAUUUCCAGCAAUUUCUUUACAAAGAGGGAGGAAGUGAAUCUGUUUUGUAUUAGUCUUGAGCCUGGGAGGCACUUGGAACUUCGGAUGUUAAAGGACCUGCUGAGAACAAGGACACUGCGUGCACAAAUAAUUCCCACACUUUGCCUUCAUUAUAAACAGAUCAGUAGAUAGGUCAUAUUUUAUAUAAAACAGAAAAAGGUUUGUUCAGUUUCACUUCAGUUUGUUUGUUUGCUAGGUUGACUUUUUUCGUUAACURUAUUAAAAAGCCUAAUUUUCCUCUUACUUUGGGUUUCUUGGGAGACUCCUUCUGGGUCAAUAGAAACUUAGGUUCUAAGUUAGUUUCUGGGUAAAAAUGAUAGUCUAUUGGCCUGGAAGAGUUCUCAAGAAGAGAGGAAACUUGUUAUAAUCUUACAUUUACCUCAGAGUGUUCCUGAGGACUACCAGAUAUUAACAGGUUCCUUACAUGCCAUUGCAUUAUACUCCUCCUAGAAAGAGGGGAGGAAGGACCCAUACUAGUGACAAGUUAACUGUAGUGACACACUGAAAGGCAUUACCUGAAAGGGCUGAGACACUACAGCAAUAGGAACAGCCCAAGAAGUGGCACAGAAUUACAAGAUUAUACAGCCUCAUCUUCCCAGAGAAGGCAUUUGACCUGAACAGUGAUGGGAGAAGUAUCUCUACUGCUUUAGUCAGGGGUUCGAAAUCUUUUUUCAUCCUCAGCAUUGGUUGCAGAUACCAUCCUUAGCAAGGGUAAAGUCUUUGCUCUGUGCCAGGCUAUGCAGUGGCUUCUGUAGCAG